GGGCGGCUAGCUCAGUGGUAGAGCGUUCCGUUCACAUCGGAAAGGUCAAAGGUUCAAUCCCUUUGCCGCCCACCA
Molecule: transfer RNA, 75 nt
Filed under: Bacteroidota bacterium
Lineage: Bacteria; Pseudomonadati; Bacteroidota
Description: Bacteroidetes bacterium (grounwater metagenome) tRNA-Val
Rfam family: tRNA
About the family: Transfer RNA (tRNA) molecules are approximately 80 nucleotides in length. Their secondary structure includes four short double-helical elements and three loops (D, anti-codon, and T loops).
Source: RNAcentral